Molecule: long non-coding RNA, 285 nt
Filed under: Rattus norvegicus (Norway rat)
Lineage: Eukaryota; Metazoa; Chordata; Mammalia; Rodentia; Muridae
Description: long non-coding RNA NONRATT016708
Source: RNAcentral
GAGUUCUCUGAGGCCCGUGAAGACAUGGCUGCCCUAGAGAAGUAUUAUGAGGAGGUUGGUGUGGAUUCUGUGGAAGGUGAGGGUGAGGAAGAAGGGGAGGAAUACUAGUUCAUUCCUCCAGUGCCUGUAUCGUGUCAAACUCAAAACUCCAGCUCCAGCACUAGCUGCAGGCAUUGAUGCUCUGUGCUAUUUCCCUUCUGUGAUCAUGUCUUCUCCAUGUGUACCUCUUAAGUUUUCCAUGAUGUCUCAAAGUAAAAGCAUUAAGAAAAGAAAAAGAAAAAAACU